This 322-nucleotide ribosomal RNA is filed under the name uncultured bacterium. RNAcentral's name for it is "bacterial SSU rRNA". It matches the Rfam family "Bacterial small subunit ribosomal RNA", at positions 30 to 352 of the family's 1533-position model. The record is from RNAcentral.
AUUGAACGCUGGCGGCAUGCCUUACACAUGCAAGUUGAACGGCAGCGGACCUUCGGGUGCCGGCGAGUGGCGAACGGGUGAGUAAUGCAUCGGAACGUGCCAUUGAGUGGGGGGAUUACGUAGCGAAAGUUACGCUAAUACCGCAUAUUCUGUGAGCAGGAAAGCAGGGGACCGCAAGGCCUUGCGCUCUUUGAGCGGCCGAUGUCAGAUUAGCUAGUUGGUGAGGUAAAGGCUUACCAAGGCGACGAUCUGUAGCGGGUCUGAGAGGAUGAUCCGCCACACUGGAACUGAGACACGGUCCAGACUCCUACGGGAGGCAGAC